CUACGUGCCAGCAGCCGCGGUAAUACGUAGGUCCCGAGCGUUAUCCGGAUUUAUUGGGCGUAAAGCGAGCGCAGGCGGUUAGAUAAGUCUGAAGUUAAAGGCUGUGGCUUAACCAUAGUACGCUUUGGAAACUGUUUAACUUGAGUGCAAGAGGGGAGAGUGGAAUUCCAUGUGUAGCGGUGAAAUGCGUAGAUAUAUGGAGGAACACCGGUGGCGAAAGCGGCUCUCUGGCUUGUAACUGACGCUGAGGCUCGAAAGCGUGGGGAGCAAACAGGAUUAGAUACCCUGGUAGUCCACGCCGUAAACGAUGAGUGCUAGGUGUUGGGUCCUUUCCGGGACUCAGUGCCGCAGCUAACGCAUUAAGCACUCCGCCUGGGGAGUACGACCGCAAGGUUAAAACUCAAAUGAAUUGACGGGGGCCCGCACAAGCGGUGGAGCAUGUGGUUUAAUUCGAUGCAACGCGAAGAACCUUACCUACUCUUGACAUCCAGAGAACAUUC
RNAcentral lists this ribosomal RNA (500 nucleotides) under uncultured bacterium. Its description in RNAcentral is "bacterial SSU rRNA". It matches the Rfam family "Bacterial small subunit ribosomal RNA", at positions 501 to 1000 of the family's 1533-position model. The record is from RNAcentral.